CAGAGCCCUGGGCCAAGGCUCUGAGUCUAAGCAGGGAACUCAAUGUAGUUUAUUAUCUACAUCUUUGACCUUAUCAGCCUCUGAAAACAAAGCAGUGAACUUGUAUGUUCAAGGCAGUGGAGAAACAGAUACUCAGGUGCCCCGUUGUGCUCACGUCCACCACCAAGCCUUCCGCCUGGCACCCCUGCCCUCUCAAGAGUCCAGUUUCUCGGGGGCACCUCUGGGUCUGCCCACCUGGAACUGUCUCUCUCCCACUUCACUCACCUAAUACCCUAUCCAUUUACUACCUGCGGCGCCACGAGAACGUUAUUUAACUUCUCUGUGCCUCAGUUGCAUUUUCUCUGAGAAGGACAAAAUAAUUGUCCUUAAGGCAGAAGCACGGUGAGGGUUAUACGAGCGAAGUGCUUGGGCCCUGGCAGGUAGCCUGCAUGUGAUAAAGGUCAGCUGUGGUCACAGGAAAUGUCACCCAUGCUUCACGUGUCAGGUUCCUCCAAUAAACCUCUCCUGAUGCUCUUACUCAGGUCACGUGCCCUGCUGGGCGUUCACGUAGCACACAGUAUGGGAUCCCUGUAUUAGUUUCAGGGACCACCUCCCACGUCUUCAAGAAUACACCUCCCAGAUUCUUGGUGUAGCCUCAGGACACACCCACAAACAAGACCAGCCAUGAAUAAACUCCCAAAGCCCUGGGCACAAUUAUUGAUCCAGUGAUAGGCAAGGACCAAAAAGAACCCUUUGACCAAUUGAGGGGGUUGCUAUGGCAACUGGGAGAAAGAGGAGUUCUCUUUUUAUGGCAUCUCGUGUACCAUCUCGGUGCGGCCCUGGUCCAGCCAUCCACCACUGUGUGCUAGAGAGAGAGAGAGAGAGAGAGAGAGAGAGAGAGAGGGAGAGGCAGGGACCUGAGGUUGAUGAGGACAGAGACUGAACUGCAUUGUUGAAACCCCAGAUUCAGCCAAGCCUGAAUCCAGGGCUUUUAUGCAGUCGGUCAAUAGCCUCUUUUUCCUUCAACUAGCUUGAUGUCUCUCUCUUGUUGUUAAGAGUCCUGAUUAACACACAUACUUCCCCAUUCACAAUGCCUAGCACAUUUCACCCUCGUUAACUGUGUGCUACCUUCCCCAGCGAGGCUGAGAGUCCAUCAUGGCGCGGCCCUGGUCCAGCCGUCCACCACUCUGUGCUAAGCAGGGUGCCUGCCCAGAGGAGGCAUUCACACAUUUGUUAAGUGAUGAAUGAUGGAUGACCAGAGGGGAUUCCAGAGGAGACACACAGAUCCCACACGAAGCACUGAUGGGAUGGAUAAAGCCCCCCAGCUUUUCUCAACUCCUCCCCCACUGGAUACAGAUUAGAAAUCUUAAGACCCCCAGACAGCUCAUCAUUUCAGAGUCUCCCAUUCCCUUCAUUGUUUAGAGAAACUGAUGCCCUGAGGUUGUGGCAGUUUGAAGAUCAGGGGCCCCAGUCCCAAGAUAUUCGGCUCUACUCGGGAGAGAUGCGGGUAUUUCUGGGGAGGUGCUCUUCGGCCCAUUGUCAUCAUCUCACCAGACCGUCAGCUUUUUGAAAACUCCCAAAGAUAAAUCCUGGUAUUCUCAUUCACCAGUUCCCCCAGACAGUAGGAGACGGAGGAUAAGCCAUCGUGACUUCUUUCUUGAAGAUUGUUUUUUUGUGCAGGUCACAAGCAACCGUAACGUUAAAUGGUCAAAGACAGAACCAUAGCCACUUCUCUGUGUUUAUCGAGAAUCACUCAAUGGCAGGGAAUCCAUACCUGAUUCAAGCAACUGAAGGAAAUCAGUUAGCUUUAUUGUUAACUGCAGACUUGAGGAUUGGCCAGAUGUACGUAUGGCUGGAGCCAAGUCCUCGAAGUGUGUCUCAUUCUCUCCACCGCAGAGUUUUCUUGAUGAAAACUGGGCUAAAGGAUGCAGUCUGAGCAAACUGGCUAUAGAGAAACGCUCUGCCUCUUCAAUGCCGGCCUUGAACCAGACUGGUGGACUUUGCCCCUUAGGCUGAGUUGUUCUCCAGAAGCUUCCUCAGGCUCCCCUGCCAACCCUCUUCAGGCAGCCCAGCCCCACCCGCUCCACUAGAUCAAGCUUGAUAACAGCAUAGCAUAAAGCCAGGACCACUGCCGUGCUUGUCUGACAAAGAAUAUUUUUAUCUUACUAGGUUUCCUAUGUAAGGGUCACCAGACAGUUUCAUUCAUUAGUUAUCCUGAAGAGCAUAGGUUGGCUGGGAGGUGUUUGAAUUGGUUGCCACAAAGAGCAAAGCAGUACACAUUUCUUCUGUCAAAAUAUUCUUUCUCUGGGAGACAGAGGUGCGUUGAUUUGCUUAUCUCUGUUCCUAUAAAACUCUUAAGUGUUUAAACUUCUGUGCAUAAAAUGUUGAUGAAACCGUCAAAAGAACUGCUGACCUGCGCAUUGACUAUGGGGAGCAUUGUUUCAAGUGAAGGAGAAAAUACCUCCAUUGACUCUACAGAGACUGAUGUGUUUGCGGUGUCUGCUGACCAUUCCUCGGUCCCGAAGAUUCCUUCCCAGUCAUGGGCCAUGUUGCCAGUCCAAAGGCAGAGUUAGUUGCACAUAGCUGCUGGCAGAUGCAAUGACACUGCAGCAGGCCGUCACCCUUGGUCGCCCUUGAUGAGUACAUGAGCUGCGGCCAGAUUUCCGUUCCCUCACCUCACAAGCACGCCCCUGUCCUGCCUUCUGACACCUGUCACCACUGCCCCUCAUCUGUGCAUCCUUCCUCCCACUCCUUUCCAGCAAUGAUUUCCAUCCACCCGUCGCAAAGAAUCACUCAAGAUAGAGCAACACAGGGGCCUUCUUCUCCAACACUUGUACAUUUCCUCACGGUGAGCUGGCCUUCCAGACAGGCAGCAGCGUGCUGCCAACGCAGGAGAGCACGUAGGUAGCCUGGAAACCUUGUUUACCUCUUGCAGUCACGACACCCUUGUUUUCCCGGUGCCGAAACUCACGCAGAGACAAAGCACCAAGGUCCAAAGCAAACAUUUGUCAGAUGAAACCAAUGACAAU
This 3008-nucleotide long non-coding RNA is filed under the name Sus scrofa (pig). RNAcentral describes it as "lncRNA (ENSSSCG00000050797.1)". Lineage: Eukaryota; Metazoa; Chordata; Mammalia; Artiodactyla; Suidae. The record is from RNAcentral.